This 300-nucleotide small nuclear RNA is filed under the name Eurypyga helias (sunbittern). RNAcentral's name for it is "7SK RNA". It matches the Rfam family "7SK RNA". From Rfam's summary of the family: 7SK was discovered as an abundant small nuclear RNA in the mid-70s but a possible function has only recently been suggested. Two independent studies have found that 7SK RNA binds the CDK9/cyclin T complex (known as elongation factor P-TEFb). The record is from Rfam by way of RNAcentral. Lineage: Eukaryota; Metazoa; Chordata; Aves; Eurypygiformes; Eurypygidae.
GGAGGUGAGGGCGAUCUGGCUGCGACAUCCGUCACCCCACUCAUGGUCAGCGUUCAUUCGGCUGACCUGGCUGGCUAGGCGGGUGUCCCCUUCCUCCCUCACCGCCCUGUAUGCAUCCCUCCGGAAGCUGCGCGCUCGGUCGAGGAGGAUGACCUUCCCCGAUAGAGACGUACUGUUCAUCGAUCAAGGGUAUGCGGUAGCUCUGCUCCAACCUCCAAUUCUGUGAACAAGAAAUGAAAACACUAAUUUCAUUUUAAUUUUCCUUUGCAUUCCGUUGCAUACACUGAUGUCCAAAUUUUA